RNAcentral lists this long non-coding RNA (329 nucleotides) under Malus domestica (apple). Its description in RNAcentral is "long non-coding RNA (MDOM_LNC002600)". The record is from RNAcentral. Lineage: Eukaryota; Viridiplantae; Streptophyta; Magnoliopsida; Rosales; Rosaceae.
AUGCUCACAAACCCAUUACUCCUCUGCUUUUCUGCCAUUGGAAGCAAGCUCUGACACUCUGUGAGUGAAAGAAAUGGAUUUGGCGGUAUGGGUUUUAUUGCGGGGAGGAAGAAAGUGCUUCUGGUGGGGAAGAAAAGCACUUUUCCGUGAAGGAAGCUACAGAUUUCUCGUGGGAAAAGGGAAGUCACAGAGCGGUGAUAACUUUAAUAGUGGGAAACUUUAAGCAAAAAAAAAAAUGCGGAAAGUAAAAAAGGAAAAGGCAAAAGCAAAGGCAAAAAAGUAAAGAAAAGAGACAGAGUUACCAAACAAACACAAAUUGAAAUUGUGAU